RNAcentral lists this ribosomal RNA (427 nucleotides) under uncultured bacterium. RNAcentral's name for it is "partial 16S ribosomal RNA". It matches the Rfam family "Bacterial small subunit ribosomal RNA", at positions 355 to 774 of the family's 1533-position model. The record is from RNAcentral.
UGGGGAAUAUUGCACAAUGGGCGCAAGCCUGAUGCAGCCAUGCCGCGUGUAUGAAGAAGGCCUUCGGGUUGUAAAGUACUUUCAGCGGGGAGGAAGGCGAUAAGGUUAAUAACCUUGUCGAUUGACGUUACCCGCAGAAGAAGCACCGGCUAACUCCGUGCCAGCAGCCGCGGUAAUACGGAGGGUGCAAGCGUUAAUCGGAAUUACUGGGCGUAAAGCGCACGCAGGCGGUCUGUCAAGUCGGAUGUGAAAUCCCCGGGCUCAACCUGGGAACUGCAUUCGAAACUGGCAGGCUAGAGUCUUGUAGAGGGGGGUAGAAUUCCAGGUGUAGCGGUGAAAUGCGUAGAGAUCUGGAGGAAUACCGGUGGCGAAGGCGGCCCCCUGGACAAAGACUGACGCUCAGGUGCGAGAGCGUGGGGAGCAAACA